Molecule: unclassified non-coding RNA, 194 nt
Filed under: uncultured fungus
Lineage: Eukaryota; Fungi
Description: sequence contains ITS1, 5.8S rRNA gene
Source: RNAcentral
UUAACUAUUAUAUAGUACUCAGACAGUAUAGACAAACAGAGUUUAGGUCCUCUGGCAAGCGCUCGCCGGCCGGAGCCAGCAGCCCGAGGGCAGGCUUGCCAAAGCAACAAGUAUAUAAUACGCAAAGGGUGAGGUUUGCUACCCAGAGGGCAGCGAACACUGUAAUGAUCCUUCCGCAGGUUCACCUACGGAAA